RNAcentral lists this long non-coding RNA (228 nucleotides) under Lathyrus oleraceus (garden pea). RNAcentral's name for it is "Pisum sativum (pea) long non-coding RNA (PSAT_LNC014092)". The record is from RNAcentral. Lineage: Eukaryota; Viridiplantae; Streptophyta; Magnoliopsida; Fabales; Fabaceae.
AUCAUUUCACAUUGCCUUGCCAAUCAAGCUUGAUUCGGACCUCAUUUCAGUUGGUUUUGGACCUUAGUGCGUUGCUUCAUGGGCCUGUACACGUCCAUGUAAGCUUGAACAUGACAUUGCCAAAUUUGGAAGAAAUUGCAAGUGUGCAAAUAACACUUGAAUUUGCUAUAAAUAGAGACACUCUGAGCUCAUUUCAAGGCAUCCUUGCGCGCCCGUUUUGCCUCCACU